This is a long non-coding RNA of Haemorhous mexicanus (house finch), 2587 nucleotides long. RefSeq lists it as uncharacterized. The record is from RefSeq and is a predicted model, not a curated record. Lineage: Eukaryota; Metazoa; Chordata; Aves; Passeriformes; Fringillidae. The transcript is spliced from 3 exons.
CUGUGGUCUGUGUAGGUGUCUUCUUUUUGCAAAACUUAUGCUGAGUUGUAGCUUUGAAUCCCUGUUGCAGCAGCAGUCCCUGCCUGGAGGAAACCCUUCUCCCUCUGCCUCUGCUGCAUCUGGAGGCAUUGUGAGAACUUUGGAGCAUGAAGGCCUUUGGACAUCUCAGCAAUGGUGAAUUUUGUCUCCAAAAUUCCUGGUCUAUUUUUGAAAUAUGACCAUGAUGUCAGUGUGAUUUGAGGGAGGGAGAACUUAUCCAGAACUCAGCCCUUCUGGAGGUCUCAGAUGAGAACACAUCCCUCGAAGAUUCUGCUGCUGACAACAGCUCCUGGCCAGUCUGUGCAGCUCACACAGAGGAGGACUUGGCUCAGCCUUCCCUACAUUUGCCUUGAAUGCAACAUCCAUGCUUGAUCAUAGCUGGAGCUCAUCAAAGCAGAAAAUAAGCAGAAGAACCAACCACCUGCCACUCGUUCACCUCAACAAAACCAGGCUGGGGCUGAGAAUCAAUAGCAACGGCGCUGAGCCUUUGUGGAACCCAGCCUUCCUGCAGGGAUGGUCCCGGCUGAAGCCAGGCAGGGAGGACGGCAGCAUGUGGGAAAUGCAGUGGCGCAGACCCUGAUGGAUGUCAUGGUGAGCUAUUUUCAGACUUUAUCUCGCUAGCCUCUGACAAAAAUGUGCUAUGGAGCAGAGCUUAUCAUGUGCAAUUUGGCCAUGGGGCCAGUGAGGGGACAGUGGAGUUGGGGCAGGUGACAUGUUGCCAGCAGAGCAGAGUGGUGGGUGCUGCUGGUGCAGAUGUGAGUGUGUGCCACAGGGGAUGGGCAUGGACAGGGUCCAACCCAGCCAGCAAAAAACAGGUAUCUGAGCCUAAAUCCCAGCCUAGGUGUGAAGCAGGGGAGUGCCAGCUUUGCUUUGCUCCUGGCUUCCUGGUGUCACCCAGAGUAUGAGGAUGGAGCAUGAAGCUGGGACCUUCCCUGCCUCCAGUUUCUGAACUUUGGAUCUUCCUAAACAGGGUUGAUUGGUCAGGUGAAUGAUGCUGCCUCCUGUAGUCCCAUUUCCCCAUGGCUAUGCUCAAGGCAUGAAGAGCAGAGGAGAUGAGUGUGCCAGGGUGUGAGCCCUGGGGUUGCCACCACUACCAGCUCCUGCUGGCUCCCCCAGGGAGGGCAAGGGGUGCUGGGCUGGGCUGGGCACUGCAGACAAGCCCUGCAAGGUGAGGAGGUGCAGCUCUGCAAACACAAACCGACAGCAGCGCCCUGCACUGCUGGGACCCAGGGGCUCUGGGAGUUAUCACCCUCAGCCUUUCGGCUGCUGGGGCUGGAGAUUAGGGAGCUGCUCCUUAUCAGCCCCCGGUCCUGCCCCUGUGGGGCUCCCCUUUCGGUCUUACUCACUGCAGAAAUGAGUAAGCCUGUUGUAACAACCGUGCUGGGACCUGUGGGGCAGCAGGCUGUGCUGAUGGGUUGGAGGUUUGUAAAGCAUCUCAGCACAGUGACCUGCAGCAGCCAGAACACACUGCAGACACCCACCAGAACUGUGCUGGAGCUCAGGGCCCUGCACAUCUAGGGCUCACUGAGUCUGGUGAGGAUGGGAAGAGUUAAUUCUGUGUGUGUGCAAAGGAGGGAGGGGAAAUCCAAGGUCCUCACAUACCCAAAAUCUCCAGUGUCUCACUUACACACAGAGCCCCACACCUGCCCCCAAAACCAUUGCCUGCGCACAAAGCUCUUGGCCCAGCCUCUGAAUUUGUCCCAACUCCUGUGUGUGCGUGUGUAUCCAUCCCUCCAUCCAUCCAUCCCUCCAUCCAUCCCUCCAUCCAUCCCUCCAUCCAUCCCUCCAUCCCAGCAGGUCUCAGCCCCUGCCUCCUCCAGGAUCUCUACACAGCAACCAUUUCCAGCAGUUUAUUCGACAGCUACAAGAAAAUAUUCCUGCACUCUCCAGCUCCACGAGGCACAUGACCCGGCCAGUGCCAGUGGAAUAAACAUUUGGAUUUAAUUUAUUAUCUCUCCUGCAGGCUCUGUCUCGGCUGGCGGCUGCAGAGGGGCCGGGGCUGCUCCCUGCCUGCGGGACAGGGCCCGGGGCAGCCUGGCAGCCUUUACCCAACUCCAUGGGAUAUUUUUAUUUUUUUUCCAUUCAAGCCUGUGCAGAAUUCCUGGCAGGACUGGAGCUUUCGUCCAGAUUGCAGAUGCCCAAAAUAUCUGUAUUCUGGGCUGAGCAGACUGAGGCUGAAGUGCCUGUGGUUGGCUGAUUGAAGAGGACAUAGGGCAAUGCAGAAAGACACACAGACAGAGGAAAAGUGCCUGAGCAUGUAUGGCAGCAGUGGGCAAAAGGAUGGGGGAUGCCCCUGGGGUCUGUCCCAUCUCCAGGCAUGGCUCUCACACCAGCAUGGGAUAUUUUUUUUUUUCCCAGUCUGCUGAAGCCUGAGCUCAGUCCAGGGCAUGGUUUUGCCCCAGAUUAGCUUGUGCUACCAGCCAUUAAAUUUGGUUGCAUUGCUGUUAUAUUAUGCUUCUCAUUUUAAAUUAUCUUCUAAACUGUGCACACCUGGCAUCUUCAGGAGCUGGGAUUUGUGAAAUAAAAGUUAAAAUGCCAGUUGGAAUAA